GUAGGUGAACCUGCGGAAGGAUCAUUAACACGUAUCCACGUUUAUAACUAUCAACUUAUAUCAACACUUACUACGAACUGUGCUCCCUGUUGACCAAUCUCUUAGCUGUCUGAUUGCCGACUAUAAUGGCUCCCCGUUCUGUCAAAGGUUCGGUGUGGGAUGUCUGGUUGGACUAUCACUCCUUUAGUGAGAGUGUGGCUGAGCAAACGGAUUCAACAGGCUUACUAACUCUAACUGCCCGUGGAGAUAA
This 250-nucleotide unclassified non-coding RNA is filed under the name plant metagenome. RNAcentral's name for it is "partial contains small subunit ribosomal RNA, internal transcribed spacer 1, and 5.8S ribosomal RNA". The record is from RNAcentral.